GCAGAACAAAAUACAGUCUUAUAACAGGAGGAAACAUCCAGAACCAGACUGAGGUCCUGGAAACAGACUAGGAUCUGGGAAACAAGCCCCAGAGGGGCCUCUGCUCAAUGCAGAUGCCAAUCAGGGCUGGGGCCAGAGAAGACUCAAUUUCCAAGCCAGGAGCUCACAUCCAGCAGGAGAGAUAAACCAGGCCCAAAAGUAACUAUAAAAUAAGGCAGACAGUGAUAAGAGCCACACAGAUAAAGCACAGCGGGGACUCAAAGCUGAGAGAGGAGUCCAAGUUGAGCAGCAGGAGAUGAAGGGGAGCAUCUGCGACUUCCCUCCCACAAGGAUUUCAGAAGUGGACCGGAAGCUAGAAGGAAGCAACAGUGCUCUCGCAAACACUCCCAGGCUGCUGUGAGAGCGGGUAAUGAAAGCACAGAAACCGAACACUUGUGCUUUCAAACAAACCUGCACUUGGCUGAAGAGAAAAGGCAGCUGAUGCCGAGUGGCUGGGGUGAGACAGGAAACCUGCUGGCCGAGGGCCACACCUUCCCAGAUGGCGAGUUCUGCUCAGCUGGUCCUCUCUAAGCCUGAUGCCCUUCAGGAGCUGUCCUGGACUCCUGCGCAGCAGCCAGCCUCUGCUUCCCAGCUGUCCACCUUCAAGGACAUUGCUGGCCCCGCCACCACCAGAGAUCAUGGCCCCUCCAGACACCAGUUCUCCAGAUCUCCUCUUCUGUUCCUUUGCUGGCAGCUCAAGCACCACCACAGGGGCCGGCCGCCAGUACAGUCCCUUCCUCAUCACCAGCCCCUGCGGGCUUCACUGCUCCCUCUUUAUCUGCCUCAAGGCCAUACUCAUGACUCCCUUACCCUCUCACCCAAGCCCGACAUGCUGCAGUGCCCCCACUUCCCGCCUCCACUGCCCCAGCUGAACUUGGCUGGUAUCUAUUAUGUAUGUUUAUUGUUUUUUUGGUUUUUUUUUUUUUGGUACCAGGGAUUGAACUCAGGUCCUUGUGCUUGCAAGGGAGGCCACUGAACCACUGAGCUAUAUCCCCAGCCCCUGUAUGUAUGUUUACUGAUGGCUGGUUUUAGAGAUAAUAAAUCUGAGUUCCAAAAAAAUGUAAAUGAAUUUGUCUAAGGUCACACAGCCAGGCAGAAUCAAGGACAAAACACAUUCCAAAUUUCCUCAUUCUCAACUUGAUUCUGCUCUCUUCAUUUAUGCAAAUGCCUCUGUAGCAAUUUUUUUCUUCCAGUACAAGGAUUGAACUAGGGCCUAAUAUUCUACCACUGAACAGCA
Long non-coding RNA from Fukomys damarensis (Damara mole-rat), 1276 nucleotides. RefSeq lists it as uncharacterized. The transcript is spliced from 3 exons. The record is from RefSeq and is a predicted model, not a curated record. NCBI's taxonomy places the organism in Eukaryota, Metazoa, Chordata, Mammalia, Rodentia, Bathyergidae.